AGCGAACGCUGGCGGCAGGCCUAAUACAUGCAAGUCGAACGGAUCCUUCGGGAUUAGUGGCGGACGGGUGAGUAACACGUGGGAACGUGCCCUUUGGUUCGGAACAACUCAGGGAAACUUGAGCUAAUACCGGAUAAGCCCUUCGGGGAAGGAUUAUCGCCAUUGGAGCGGCCCGCGUCUGAUUAGCUAGUUGGUGGGGUAAAGGCCUACCAAGGCGACGAUCAGUAGCUGGUCUGAGAGGANGAUCAGCCACACUGGGACUGAGACACGGCCCAGACUCCUACGGGAGGCAGCAGUAGGGAAUCUUGCGCAAUGGGCGGAAAGCCUGACGCAGCGACGCCGCGUGAGGGAUGACGGCCUCGGUUG
RNAcentral lists this ribosomal RNA (366 nucleotides) under uncultured bacterium. RNAcentral describes it as "bacterial SSU rRNA". It matches the Rfam family "Bacterial small subunit ribosomal RNA", at positions 29 to 425 of the family's 1533-position model. The record is from RNAcentral.